This 108-nucleotide small nuclear RNA is filed under the name Neotoma lepida (desert woodrat). The record is from RNAcentral. Lineage: Eukaryota; Metazoa; Chordata; Mammalia; Rodentia; Cricetidae.
GUCUGUAGUGCUCAUUCAGACAGCUCAUAGAACUGGAAUGAUACAGAGAAGACUAGCAUGGCUAUUGCACAGGAUUACAGACAGAUUCACGAAGCAUCCCAUACUUCA